Molecule: ribosomal RNA, 2010 nt
Filed under: Ditomyia fasciata
Lineage: Eukaryota; Metazoa; Arthropoda; Insecta; Diptera; Ditomyiidae
Description: SSU rRNA
Rfam family: Eukaryotic small subunit ribosomal RNA
Source: RNAcentral
GCUGUCUCAAAGAUUAAGCCAUGCAUGUCUAAGUCCAAACAUAAAUAAAGUGAAACCGCAAAAGGCUCAUUAUAUCAGUUAUGGUUCCUUAGAUCGUAUUCAUAGUUACUUGGAUAACUGUGGUAAUUCUAGAGCUAAUACAUGCAAUUAAGAAGUGACCAGUAAAAUGGACUCUUCGCUUUUAUUAGAUUUAAACCAAUGGGAGGUGUGUACGCAAGUGCACAUUUUCAAACAAACAUGGUUGAACUCUGGAUAACUUGUUGAUCGUAUGGUCUUGUACCGACGACGGAUCUUUCAAAUGUCUGCCCUAUCAACUAUUGAAGGUAGUGUCUUGGACUACCUUGGUUGCAACGGGUAACGGGGAAUCAGGGUUCGAUUCCGGAGAGGGAGCCUGAGAAACGGCUACCACAUCUAAGGAAGGCAGCAGGCGCGUAAAUUACCCACUCCCGGCACGGGGAGGUAGUGACGAAAAAUAACAAUACAAGACUCACAUCCGAGGCCUUGUAAUUGGAAUGAGUACACUUUAAAUCCUUUAACAAGGAUCAAUUGGAGGGCAAGUCUGGUGCCAGCAGCCGCGGUAAUUCCAGCUCCAAUAGCGUAUAUUAAAGUUGUUGCGGUUAAAACGUUCGUAGUUGAAUUUGUGUUCCGCACGGGCAGUACUUUUGAUCGGGCAACCGUGAUGGUACUAUGUCUUAUCUUCUUAUACACCAUUUUUAAUGGUUAUAUGAAAAGUGCGCGAACGUAUUAUCGGCGCUUGUUAUAUGUGCGCAUGCGGUUUCGAUCAUAUGUUAGCACAUAUACUUGCAUAAGCCCAUUUCUGUGCUCUUAACCGAGUGUUGUUGUGGGCCGAUACAAAUUACUUUGAACAAAUUAGAGUGCUUAAAGCAGGCUUGUAAUGCCUGAAUAUUUUGUGCAUGGAAUAAUGGAAUAGGACAUCUGUUCUACUUUCAUUGGUUUUUUAGACCAAGAUGUAAUGAUUAAUGGAAGCCGUUGGGGGCAUUAGUAUUACAACGCGAGAGGUGAAAUUCUUAGACCGUUGUAAGACUGACUAAAGCGAAAGCAUUUGCCAAAGAUGUUUUCAUUUAAUCAAGAACGAAAGUUAGAGGUUCGAAGGCGAUCAGAUACCGCCCUAGUUCUAACCAUAAACGAUGCCAGCUAGCAAUUGAGUGUAGCUACUACUAUGGCUCUCUCAGACGCUUCGCGGGAAACCAAAGCUUUUGGGCUCCGGGGGAAGUAUGGUUGCAAAGCUGAAACUUAAAGGAAUUGACGGAAGGGCACCACCAGGAGUGGAGCCUGCGGCUUAAUUUGACUCAACACGGGAAAACUUACCAGGUCCGAACAUAAAUGAGUAAGACAGAUUGAUAGCUCUUUCUCGAAUCUAUGGGUGGUGGUGCAUGGCCGUUCUUAGUUCGUGGAGUGAUUUGUCUGGUUAAUUCCGAUAACGAACGAGACUCAAAUAUAUUAAAUAGAUGCAUUCAGGAUUAUGGCGUUGAAGCCCUGUAUACCUUCAUAUGGUUUGGUUUGGUUUUCGGAUUAGGCCAGGCUGUGUGAUGGGUGUGUAGGGUGGAGUGAUACCUGUUUGUGUGUCUAAAUGCAAAAAUAGAUACUUAGCUUCUUAAAUGGACAAAUUGUGUCUAACAAUAAUGAGAUUGAGCAAUAACAGGUCUGUGAUGCCCUUAGAUGUCCUGGGCUGCACGCGCGCUACAAUGAAGGUAUCAACGUGUAUAUUCCUAGGCCGAGAGGUCGGGGUAAACCGCUGAACCACCUUCUUGCUUGGGAUUGUGGACUGAAACUGUUCACAUGAACCUGGAAUUCCCAGUAAGUGCGAGUCAUUAACUCGCAUUGAUUACGUCCCUGCCCUUUGUACACACCGCCCGUCGCUACUACCGAUUGAAUUGUUUAGUGAGGUCUCUGGACGUGGUCACUGCGACGCCUCGUGUGUUUCAGUUGUUUCACAGAAGUUGACCGAACUUGGUUAUUUAGAGGAAGUAAAAGUCGUAACAAGGUUUC